This 331-nucleotide ribosomal RNA is filed under the name uncultured bacterium. RNAcentral's name for it is "bacterial SSU rRNA". It matches the Rfam family "Bacterial small subunit ribosomal RNA", at positions 568 to 898 of the family's 1533-position model. The record is from RNAcentral.
UGCGUAGGCGGCUUUUUUAAGUUUGGUGUGAAAUCUCCCGGCUUAACUGGGAGGGUGCGCCGAAUAAUGAGAGGCUAGAGUGUGGGAGAGGAAAGUGGAAUUCCUGGUGUAGCGGUGAAAUGCGUAGAUAUCAGGAGGAACACCGGUGGUGUAAACGGCUUUCUGGACCAUAACUGACGCUGAGGCACGAAAGCGUGGGUAGCAAACAGGAUUAGAUACCCUGGUAGUCCACGCCCUAAACGAUGCAUAUUUGGUGUGGGCCAUUCAUUUGGUCUGUGCCGGAGCUAACGCGUUAAAUAUGCCGCCUGGGGAGUACAGUCGCAAGGCUGAA